This 451-nucleotide ribosomal RNA is filed under the name uncultured organism. RNAcentral describes it as "bacterial SSU rRNA". It matches the Rfam family "Bacterial small subunit ribosomal RNA", at positions 28 to 507 of the family's 1533-position model. The record is from RNAcentral.
GACUAACGCUGGCGGCGUGCCUAACACAUGCAAGUCGAACGAAGCAGCAAUGCUUAGUGGCAGACGGGUGAGUAACGCGUAGAUAAUGUGCCCUCUUGCGGGGGAUACCGUUUCGAAAGGAACGUUAAUACCGCAUAAAGUCCUGAAGAGGCAUCUCUUUAGGACCAAACUUCCGGGGCGGGAGGAGCAAUCUGCGUACUAUCAGGUAGUUGGUGAGGUAACGGCUCACCAAGCCUACGACGGUUAACUGGUCUGAGAGGAUGAUCAGUCACACUGGAACUGAGACACGGUCCAGACUCCUACGGGAGGCAGCAGUGAGGAAUAUUGCACAAUGGGCGAAAGCCUGAUGCAGCGACGCCGCGUGGAGGAUGAAGGAUUUCGGUCUGUAAACUCCUGUCAGUAGGGAAGAGAAUGGACGGUACCUACUGAGGAAGCUUCGGCUAACUACGUG